CACCCGCAGCUCGAGUGGUGGUCACUUUUAUUGAGCCUAAAGCGUUCGUAGCCGGUCCUGUAAAUCUUCAGAUAAAUUCUCUCGCUUAACGGGAGAUCCUCUGAAGAGACUGUGGGACUAGGGACUGGGUGAGGUUGAAUGUACUUCUGGGGUAGGGGUAAAAUCCUGUAAUCCUGGAAGGACAACCGGUGGCGAAGGCGUUCAACUAGAACAGAUCCGACGGUGAGGAACGAGGGCUAGGGGAGCAAACCGGAUUAGAUACCCGGGUAGUCCUAGCUGUAAACACUGCCCACUUGGUGUUGCCUCUCCGUUGAGGGGAGGCAGUGCCGGAGCGAAGGUGUUAAGUGGGCCGCUUGGGGAGUAUGGUCGCAAGGCUGAAACUUAAAGGAAUUGGCGGGGGAGCACCGCAACGAGAGGAGCGUGCGGUUUAAUUGGAUUCAACGCCGGAAAACUCACCGGGAGCGACCUUUAGAUGAGAGUCAACCUGACGAGUUUACUCGAUAGAAGGAGAGGUGGUGCAUGGCCGUCGUCAGCUCGUACCGUAGGGCGUUCACUUAAGUGUGAUAACGAGCGAGACCCCCAUCUUUAAUUGCCAUGUUGUCUUUGCGGGCAACGGCACUUUAGAGGGACCGCCAGCGCUAAGCUGGAGGAAGGAGGGGUCGACGGCAGGUCAGUACGCCCCGAAUCUCCCGGGCUACACGCGCGCUACAAAGGACAGGACAAUGAGUUGCGACCUCGAAAGGGGUAGCUAACCUCGAAACCUGUUCGUAGUUAGGAUUGAGGGCUGUAACUCGCCCUCAUGAAUGUGGAUUCCGUAGUAAUCGCGGGUCAACAGCCCGCGGUGAAUAUGCCCCUGCUCCU
Molecule: ribosomal RNA, 861 nt
Filed under: uncultured archaeon
Lineage: Archaea
Description: bacterial SSU rRNA
Rfam family: Archaeal small subunit ribosomal RNA
Source: RNAcentral